AGAUCCUUAGGUUAUAAAAUAGACCUUAAGCCUUCAAAGCUUGUAGAGAAACCUGCUUUCAGGGUCUG
This 68-nucleotide transfer RNA is filed under the name Crassiplana albatrossi. Its description in RNAcentral is "tRNA-Trp". Lineage: Eukaryota; Metazoa; Platyhelminthes; Polycladida; Callioplanidae. The record is from RNAcentral.